RNAcentral lists this ribosomal RNA (492 nucleotides) under uncultured bacterium. RNAcentral's name for it is "partial 16S ribosomal RNA". It matches the Rfam family "Bacterial small subunit ribosomal RNA", at positions 29 to 507 of the family's 1533-position model. The record is from RNAcentral.
AGUGAACGCUGGCGGUAGGCCUAACACAUGCAAGUCGAACGGCAGCACAGUAAGAGCUUGCUCUUACGGGUGGCGAGUGGCGGACGGGUGAGGAAUACAUCGGAAUCUACUUUUUCGUGGGGGAUAACGUAGGGAAACUUACGCUAAUACCGCAUACGACCUACGGGUGAAAGCAGGGGAUCUUCGGACCUUGCGCGAUUGAAUGAGCCGAUGUCGGAUUAGCUAGUUGGCGGGGUAAAGGCCCACCAAGGCGACGAUCCGUAGCUGAUCUGAGAGGAUGAUCAGCCACACUGGAACUGAGACACGGUCCAGACUCCUACGGGAGGCAGCAGUGGGGAAUAUUGGGCAAUGGGCGCAAGCCUGAUCCAGCCAUACCGCGUGGGUGAAGAAGGCCUUCGGGUUGUAAAGCCCUUUUGUUGGGAAAGAAAAGCAGCAGGUUAAUACCCCGCUGUUCUGACGGUACCCAAAGAAUAAGCACCGGCUAACUUCGUG